GACGAACGCUGGCGGCGUGCUUAACACAUGCAAGUCGAACGGAAAGGCCCUGCUUGCAGGGUACUCGAGUGGCGAACGGGUGAGUAACACGUGGGUGAUCUGCCCUGCACUUCGGGAUAAGCUUGGGAAACUGGGUCUAAUACCGGGUAGGAGCCAUCUUUAGUGUGGUGGUUGGAAAGUUUUUUCGGUGUAGGAUGAGCUCGCGGCCUAUCAGCUUGUUGGUGGGGUAAUGGCCUACCAAGGCGGCGACGGGUAGCCGGCCUGAGAGGGUGUACGGCCACACUGGGGCUGUGAGACAGCGCAGAGUCCUACGCGGGGCAGAAGUGUGGAAUAUUGCACAAUGUGCGCAGGCCUGAUGCGGCGACGCCGCGUGUGCGAUGAAGGCGUUCGGGUUGUAUACUCCUCUCGCUAGUGACGAAGCUCUUUUGUGACGGUACCUAGAUAAGAAGCACCGGCUAACUACGUG
This 466-nucleotide ribosomal RNA is filed under the name uncultured bacterium. RNAcentral describes it as "partial 16S ribosomal RNA". It matches the Rfam family "Bacterial small subunit ribosomal RNA", at positions 28 to 507 of the family's 1533-position model. The record is from RNAcentral.